CAGCCGCCGCGGGAAUACGUAGGGUGCGAGCGUUAAUCGGAAUUACUGGGCGUAAAGCGUGCGCAGGCGGUUGUGUAAGACAGGUGUGAAAUCCCCGGGCUUAACCUGGGAACUGCGCUUGUGACUGCACAGCUAGAGUAUGGCAGAGGGGGGUGGAAUUCCACGUGUAGCAGUGAAAUGCGUAGAGAUGUGGAGGAACACCGAUGGCGAAGGCAGCCCCCUGGGCCAAUACUGACGCUCAUGCACGAAAGCGUGGGGAGCAAACAGGAUUAGAUACCCGAGUAGUCCCUGUCUCUUAUAC
This 301-nucleotide ribosomal RNA is filed under the name uncultured bacterium. RNAcentral describes it as "partial 16S ribosomal RNA". It matches the Rfam family "Bacterial small subunit ribosomal RNA", at positions 509 to 807 of the family's 1533-position model. The record is from RNAcentral.